UUAGUGGCGGACGGGUGAGUAACGCGUGGAAAACCUGCCGUAUACUGGGGGAUAACACUUAGAAAUAGGUGCUAAUACCGCAUAAGCGCACAGCUUCGCAUGAAGCGGUGUGAAAAACUCUGGUGGUAUACGAUGGUUCCGCGUCUGAUUAGCUAGUUGGUGGGGUAGGGGCCCACCAAGGCGACGAUCAGUAGCCGGCCUGAGAGGGUGGACGGCCACAUUGGGACUGAGACACGGCCCAAACUCCUACGGAAGGCAGCAG
This 262-nucleotide ribosomal RNA is filed under the name uncultured bacterium. Its description in RNAcentral is "partial 16S ribosomal RNA". It matches the Rfam family "Bacterial small subunit ribosomal RNA", at positions 92 to 354 of the family's 1533-position model. The record is from RNAcentral.